Musa acuminata AAA Group (dessert banana) is the source of this 3160-nucleotide RNA transcript. It is a transcript of the gene named agamous-like MADS-box protein AGL65, with no coding region annotated. The transcript is spliced from 7 exons. The record is from RefSeq and is a predicted model, not a curated record. Lineage: Eukaryota; Viridiplantae; Streptophyta; Magnoliopsida; Zingiberales; Musaceae.
CGACACCGUCCGGUCCGGUCCAGUUCGGUGCGGUGCCCGACCUUCAGAGAUUUCCAAGGGACACCGCGUUCGUUGGGCGGACUCUUACCUGCUGCUUUUUCGUCUCCAGAUCGUUAUUCCCGGCUUUCCGCUCCCUCGCUUGCACUGGAUUGCCAUUCGAUGAGUUGAAUUAAUAGGCGCAACGAUCGAUUGUUGGGAGGGGGAAGGGACGUCAACCCGUCGAAUCGUUGCCCUGCGACUUGCUGCGGGUCGCCAGAAUCGCCUUCAAGCUUUUGAUUUUGAAUCCGGUUGUUCUCUUGCUGUGAUCUCUGUCUGCAGCGCGGCGCCUCGCGUUGUCGCCUCCUCUUGAUUGCGUCUGGAGAGUUUGGAGCCAAAGGUCGAACAUUUGAGGACCGCGGAAAGCGGGUUGGACCAGAGGUCGAAGCUUCGUACGAUUUCAGCAGCACAUACAGGGGACGGAAGGCGGGAAACUUAUAAGGGUUUCGAUGGGGAGAGUGAAACUGAAGAUAAAGAGAUUGGAGAAUAGCAACAGCCGGCAGGUCACCUAUUCGAAGAGGAAAACCGGGGUGACGAAGAAGGCGAAGGAGCUAUCUAUUUUGUGCGAUAUCGACCUGGUCCUUCUCAUGUUCGCGCCUAAUGGGAAGCCUACCAUAUGCGUCGGAGACCGCAGGUACUAGCUACUAUUACCACUCGGUCAUCUUUCAUGGCCAUGCGGUUGUUUCAAUGAUUUGGCAGUGCUCUUUGCUAUAUCAGAUUUUGAGAAACAUGUUCUUUCUUUUUUUGUCUGAUUGCUGCUGAAUGUUUCUAAGUGUGAUGAUGCAUUUUGAGUGGGUUAUGUAUGUUGUUUAGUUGAGGUUGAACCUCAGGGUCAUGGUAAGGUUGCUAGGUAAGUAAAGUUUGGGAGUAAGGUUGCAUGCAUUGACCCUUUCUAGAUCUUGUAUUUGGCAGGAGCCAUGUGCAUUGAGCUGCCCUUAUAUUUGUUGUUUAAUUCUGUAAAUAGUCUUUCAUAGGCAAUGGAAUGAGAUCCUCUUGACUGGCAAUGUCCGCUAGAAGUCUUCUUACGCAUGACCAUGUAUAUUAAUUGAUUAGUUCAAGUAGAGGACAUAUAAUAGUUACAAUAUGGAAAUAGAUGUGGAAGCACUAUCCUCUAUUAUACGAGGGUAAUUUUUUGGUAAAUAGUAAAGGUGUCCUCCCAUAAUUCCCCUCCAUCUCUUAUGCACGUUUACUCUAAUGCAUUCUUCUUUUUCUCUAGUCGCAAUACUGAGGAAGUUGUUGCAAGGUUUGCUCAAGUAUCCCAACAAGAAAAGGGCAAAAGGGCAUGCUCAAAUUCUCAUUGGCUUUUAAAUGUGUUUCUUUGUUAAUUAUAUGUCUCUGAUGUCACCUUUCAACUUUUUGUAAUUUUAACAGAAAGUUGGAGAGUCUUGAAGUAAGUUUGUUCGCCAUUCUGCAGUGAUCAAUAUAUUGAGUAUGAUCAUUCCAUCUUUGUUACAGAAACUUCAAUUCAAGCAUCCGAGGAUCAUUAUCACAUACUUUGCAAAACUUAUGUCCCCUUUUUUUUCUAGGUUCUGAAGAAAACAUUCAAGAAGUUGGACCACGAUGUUGAUAUCCAAGAGUUCCUUGGUUCCAGAUACUGAUAGUUUUUAUAUACUUGGCAUAUGUUGCAAAAAUGUUCCAAAUUUCUUAUGCUCUUUUGUUUUUCUUGCAGCACCCAAACGGUUGAGGAGAUAACUAAUCACUGGUCGUCAUUGCAUGGUCAACUAUUAGAUGUACAAAAAAGACUCAGCAAUUGGGCUGACCCAGACAAGAUUAAUAACAUAAACCAUAUUACCACAAUGGAACAAUCUCUUAAGGAAUCUCUUGUCCAAAUUCAAGUGCAUAAGGAGAACUUUGGAAAGCAACUUAUUUCUGUAGAUUACAGUGGCCAGAAUGACAUCCAUCCAUCCACAGGAUUAGGCUGUGAGCAAGGAGCCUCACCCGUUUCAUGGCUUCAUAUCAAUGAUGAUCAGCAAUUGAUGCUUCCACAAGAUGCUAAUCUGCUACCUUGGAGCACAGGUGAACAGACAGGGGCCAAUGACCAAAUACAAGAGGAGUGCUUGCAUGAAUAUAGUCAGAAUACAUGUUUGAGGUGACAACUGGGAGGACAGUAUCCCUACAACUCUUACGGUUGGAAUUUGCUAUGUGAAAGAACAUUCAAGCCUGAGGCAGAAAAGAGCUUGCAGGAAAGUAGUAUAGAUUACCAAGUGAAUCACUUUGAUGCUAGCUUUCACAAUUGGGUUUCCACAUCUGGGACAUGUGGUGUUGCAAUAUAUGAUGAGCAGUCAUACACCCAAGAGGUUGCAUGGUCAUGCUUGAAGGUUUUGUCCCAUCCACCUAUGAUGUAUCUACACUCACCAGCGGUUGUAUGGUUUGCCAUGCACCCCAGCCUAACAGGUGUUCCCUGCAUCCCCAGCUGUAAGUGUUGGUUCCUGGGUCAGGACACAUUUUAGGACACAAGACAUUUUCAAUUAAGAUUGAGAUAUUUCAUGACACCAAAAGUGUAUAUGGGAUAUGCUUAGCACUCCAAGAAUGAAAGGGAGACACAUGAUGCCUAUUUGUUCUUUUCCUUGAGUUGAAGUUAGAUUGAACUAGAAGUGAUCUCUGCUCCUAAUUUAUAUCUUUAAAUGUGUUGUGAUUUUUCAUUUAGUUAUACAUUCUGCCACUCGAUGCUUUCCCCCUCUUAAAUUUUGCAUAAUCUCCUUCCAGUGUGCAUAUUUCGAACUUCUGAAUUAGUAAACCAACUUAUCUAGUAACUAUCAUUUUUCUUCUUGUUAUAUUCGAUAUUGUAACUGGUAAUUUGCACCUUCAAGUGAUGGGAUUAUCCUAAUUCAUGCAAUAUUGUAUCUGAUAUUUUGUUAGCAAUCUCAAAGCUUUAAAUUGCCUGAUCUUAGAUGUCAGGAUCAUGGCCAAUGAGAGGGUAAAUCCUCUGUUACCCUUUCUGAUGUCUUUCUCAGAAUAAGAACCUCAAAUCUCAUAAAGCCCUCGUGCACACGGAAGAUGCCUGGGAUAUGUAAUGAGAAAGCCCUGUAGAUGUCAGUUUGACGUUUUGCCUGAUUGAUGAUUUCCUGCUUGCCAUUGCUUAUGUUUUGCCUAUUAAUCUAACUCUUGUUUUCACUGAACCUAA